Long non-coding RNA from Cyprinus carpio (common carp), 2001 nucleotides. NCBI's taxonomy places the organism in Eukaryota, Metazoa, Chordata, Actinopteri, Cypriniformes, Cyprinidae. The record is from Ensembl.
UGGAAUUCUCAACCUCUAAUGAAGUUUGGGAUGCAAGUUGCAGAUUUUCUUUUGUCCACUAACAUGUUGUCUGGCAACAAUUACACAAAGGCUGCCCUCUUGUUCAAAUUCAUGAACAUGGGGAUGGUAAACAAAAACACCUUCUUCUCCAUUCAAGACAAUUACUGUGUCAACACAAUAAAGGACUUCUGGGAAGAGAGAAGGACAGAGGCUCUUCAUUGCCUUCAAGGGAAGGUUGUCAUAGUCUUAGGUGUGUAGUUUAAAAUGUAUAAUGUUACAUAACUAUUGACAUAAAGCAAUGACAUUGUGACUAUAUGUAAGCAACUAAAUGUUGAGUUAUAUUUUGUUUUUCUUCAGCAGAUGGCAGAAAUGACUCGCCUGGUCACUGUGCACAAUACUGCAGCUACACCACCAUGGAGAAUGACACCAAGGAGACACCACCAUAGACAAGCGGCAGACAUCAUGGAACUCUGUUGUCAUGGAGAAGGAGGGUUUCAUCCAGACUCAGAGAUAAAGCUAGUGGAGAUCUGCACAGAUGCUCAUGUUCAGAUUGGUGCCAUUAUGAGUAAGUAUUAAUCUGACACAUUGUGUGAAUACAUGUCUAUAACAGUAAUAUAAAUAUUGUAGCAAUAUAGCAAUAUGACAUAAUUGACCUCUUUAUAGACCCAGAUAAAGGCAAAUACAAGGCCCUUGGAAUUCAUCACAGUCUGGACAUGUGGCAUGGUGCGAAGAACCUUGCCAAAAAAAUAGCAGCCGCAGCAAAGAUAAAAGGACAGUCCAUCCUCCUCAACUGGCUGAAAGAAAUUGUGGUGUCAGUACGAGACUUGGACUCAGUUGCAGGUGCCCAAAAGGUCAGUUUAUUUAACAGGCUUGAAUUUCAAAAAAAGGGAAAAAAAGUAAAUAAAAAACUAUCCAGGUACAGGGCAGCCCGGAGAAGAUCACGAAGUGCCUCCUGGACGAAUUCCACUAAGAAAAUCCACAGCAAGGCCGAGAUAAACUGACAGAGAGGCGGGGGCGCUGUUGAGGCAGGGAACUGGUGGCGCACCGGCAGCGAGGCGAAGAAGAGCACUGACGGUGAUCGCGAGCAAGGGAAGGGUAGGAGAAUUAGCGCUGCCUGAAAGCAGGAGGAAGAGGGAGAAAACAAAACUAAAGGAUGAAAACAAAACUAGCAUGAUCUCUGUGCAGGCAAAACAUGAGCUGUGGAUGGAGCUGAGACAUAAACGAGCACAACACGACGUUCUGACAACAGACAGCACACGAGAGGAGACUAAAUAGAGAAGGAGUGAUUAACAUAAUGCAGAGCAGGUGAUGGUGGCCAAUAACAAAAUAAUAAUGAAACAAGAGGGCGGAGACGGGCACCACGAUGACACAGAAGCACAUGGUAAGUGUAAACAACCACAAGCACGCACCCACACACACACACGCACAAUAAGAGAAAAACAGACAAAUCAGCCCAGGGACGUGACAUUACCCCCCUCCCCAGGAGCGUCCCCUGGCGCUCCAGGGAAGGAACCUCCACGCUGCCGGUAGAAGUCCUCGAUCAGUGACCGAUCCAGAAUAUCCCGAGCCGGGACCCAACUCCUCUCAUCCGGACCAUAUCCCUCCCAGUCCACCAGAUACUGAAAUCCCCGACCUCGACGUCUGACAUCCAGCAACCUUCUGACAGUGAAGACUGGGGAACCAUCCACUAGACGGGGAGGGGGAGGGUUAGUAGCAGAUGAGUUAAGGUGAGAAUGAAACACAGGCUUGACCCGAGAAACAUGAAAGACUGGGUGUACCCGACCAAGUGUGGGAGGUAACUUGAGCUUUACCGCCACCGGACUCAAUACCUUGGUGAUCUGAUAUGGCCCAAUGAACCUGGGGGCUAACUUGCGAGAAGCCACCCGGAGAGGAAGGUCCUUGGUAGACAGCCAUACUCUCUGACCACAUACGUAGCGGGGAGCAGGAAUUCGGUGACGGUCAGCCGCUGCUUUGGUUCGUCUGGAAACCCGAGCCAAGGUU